AAUGAAAGAAAAAAUUAAAAACAUCAAAAGAAGGGACUGUUCCGAAUUCACAGACACAUUUUCAUCAGUUAUCUCUAAGCAUGCAUGCAACAUUGAUGCAAGAGAAAAAUGGAUCAUAAACAAGCAUGCCUAGACUAUUUCUGUGUGCAUAUGAAGAGAGAAUUGCAUAGGUAACUAACUACCAAGUAAAAUUACACUGAUAAAUGACAUCUGGGCCAUGUUUGGAAGACAAAGCCAACAUCACCAGA
RNAcentral lists this long non-coding RNA (248 nucleotides) under Glycine max (soybean). RNAcentral's name for it is "long non-coding RNA (GMAX_LNC004397)". Lineage: Eukaryota; Viridiplantae; Streptophyta; Magnoliopsida; Fabales; Fabaceae. The record is from RNAcentral.